Molecule: ribosomal RNA, 245 nt
Filed under: uncultured bacterium
Lineage: Bacteria
Description: partial 16S ribosomal RNA
Rfam family: Bacterial small subunit ribosomal RNA
Source: RNAcentral
UACGUAGGGUGCAAGCGUUAUCCGGAAUUAUUGGGCGUAAAGCGUUCGCAGGCGGUUCGGUAAGUUUGUGGUUAAAUCUGGCCGCUCAACGGUCAACAUGCCAUAAAGACUGCCAGACUGGAGGAUGACAGAGGCAACUGGAAUUCUGCGUGUAGGGGUAAAAUCCGUUGAUACGCAGAGGAACACCAAAAGCGAAGGCAGGUUGCUGGGUCAUUUCUGACGCUGUUGAACGAAAGCGUGGGGAG